This 60-nucleotide small RNA is filed under the name Sinorhizobium meliloti 2011. Its description in RNAcentral is "putative ncRNA". Lineage: Bacteria; Pseudomonadati; Pseudomonadota; Alphaproteobacteria; Hyphomicrobiales; Rhizobiaceae. The record is from RNAcentral.
UUUCCGGCGAAAGAAGAGGAGAUCACGCCGGCAAUGAUAAUGCCGGCGUGAUCAUUUCUG